RNAcentral lists this ribosomal RNA (253 nucleotides) under uncultured bacterium. RNAcentral describes it as "partial 16S ribosomal RNA". It matches the Rfam family "Bacterial small subunit ribosomal RNA", at positions 524 to 776 of the family's 1533-position model. The record is from RNAcentral.
UACGUAGGCAGCAAGCGUUGUUCGGAAUUACUGGGCGUAAAGGGCGCGUAGGCGGCCUGCUAAGUCAUACGUGAAAUCCCUCGGCUCAACCGGGGAACUGCGUGUGAUACUGGCGGGCUUGAAUUCGGGAGAGGGAUGCGGAAUUCCAGGUGUAGCGGUGAAAUGCGUAGAUAUCUGGAGGAACACCGGUGGCGAAGGCGGCAUCCUGGACCGAGAUUGACGCUGAGGCGCGAAAGCCAGGGGAGCAAACGGG